This 298-nucleotide signal recognition particle RNA is filed under the name Pteropus alecto (black flying fox). Its description in RNAcentral is "Metazoan signal recognition particle RNA". It matches the Rfam family "Metazoan signal recognition particle RNA". Rfam says of the family: The signal recognition particle (SRP) is a universally conserved ribonucleoprotein. The record is from Rfam by way of RNAcentral. Lineage: Eukaryota; Metazoa; Chordata; Mammalia; Chiroptera; Pteropodidae. RNAcentral also lists the same sequence under 1 other name.
GCUGCGCAUGGUGGUGCGUGCCUGUAGUCCCAGCUACUCGGGAGGCUGAGGCAGGAGGAUCGCUUGAGCCCAGGAGUUCUGGGCUGUAGUGCACUAUGGUGACCGAGUGUCCGCUCUAAGUUUGACAUUGAUAUGGUGACCUCCCAGGAGCAGGAGACCACCAGGUUGCCUAAGGUAGGGUGAACCAGCCCAGGUCAGAAACAGAGCAGGUCAAAACUCCCAUGUUGAUCAAUUCUCCUCUAGCAAUUAAAAAGCAAAACUAAACUAAAAAACCAACAACAGAAACAGCUUUCCACGU